GGCUAUUCCCAUGGGGUAGUUUGUCUUGAAAAUAAACUAAGAGUGCUCAACCCACUCAAUAGCCU
RNAcentral lists this transfer RNA (65 nucleotides) under Oncomelania hupensis hupensis. Its description in RNAcentral is "tRNA-Ser". Lineage: Eukaryota; Metazoa; Mollusca; Gastropoda; Littorinimorpha; Pomatiopsidae. The record is from RNAcentral.